This 253-nucleotide ribosomal RNA is filed under the name uncultured bacterium. Its description in RNAcentral is "partial 16S ribosomal RNA". It matches the Rfam family "Bacterial small subunit ribosomal RNA", at positions 524 to 776 of the family's 1533-position model. The record is from RNAcentral.
UACGUAGGGUGCGAGCGUUGUCCGGAAUUAUUGGGCGUAAAGAGCUCGUAGGCGGCCUGUCGCGUCGGAUGUGAAAGCCCGGGGCUUAACCCCGGGUCUGCAUUCGAUACGGGCAGGCUAGAGUGUGGUAGGGGAGAUCGGAAUUCCUGGUGUAGCGGUGAAAUGCGCAGAUAUCAGGAGAAACACCGGUGGCGAAGGCGGAUCUCUGGGCCAUUACUGACGCUGAGGAGCGAAAGCGUGGGGAGCGAACAGG